This 404-nucleotide unclassified non-coding RNA is filed under the name Artemisia nutans. RNAcentral's name for it is "partial external transcribed spacer". Lineage: Eukaryota; Viridiplantae; Streptophyta; Magnoliopsida; Asterales; Asteraceae. The record is from RNAcentral.
AAAGGUGCAUGAGUGGUGUUUGGUUUGUUACGUGUGGUUGGCUGCGGCGUUUGCAACAACUUCCAUGCUUUCAGACCUCUUCAGUUGUGCGGCAAGGCUUGUAUCGCCUUGAGCGUAUUGUGGGUUUUCUGUGUUGGCUACCUAAUCAAUGGUAUCGGUUGGAUUGAUCAAUGUUUCAUUUCGUCUACCGUCGCAUUCGCGGCGUGAGAUGAACCUUGAUGCGGUCUCUUUGAUCCACCUCGUCGAAGCGCAUGCUUUGGCGUUGUGGCACAUUGAGCAUUGCUUGGUCUCUUGUAUACGGAACAUAUAGUGGGCAUGGAUCUAACGAUUCUCGUUUGCCCUCAUAUUAGCGUAACGCUUCUCUUACACGACUUGCACCACGUUUUAGCUCGUACGGACGUGGU